This 467-nucleotide ribosomal RNA is filed under the name uncultured ciliate. Its description in RNAcentral is "SSU rRNA". It matches the Rfam family "Eukaryotic small subunit ribosomal RNA". Lineage: Eukaryota; Ciliophora. The record is from RNAcentral.
AUUUGUCUGGUUAAUUCCGAUAACGAACGAGACCUUAACCUGCUAACUAGAUUCAUUAGUACUACUAUUGCAAUCUUCUUAGAGGGACUAUGUAAAACAAAUACAUGGAAGUUUGAGGCAAUAACAGGUCAGUGAUGCCCUUAUAUGUCCUGGGCUGCACGCGUGCUACACUGAUGCAUACAACAAGUGCCUAACCAGACAUGGUAUGGCAAUCUCGAAUAUGCAUCGUGAUGGGGAUAGAUCUUUGCAAUUAUAGAUCUUGAACGAGGAAUUCCUAGUAAGUGCAAGUCAUCAUCUUGCAUUGAUUAUGUCCCUGCCCUUUGUACACACCGCCCGUCGCUCCUACCGAUACCGGGUGAUCCGGUGAACCUUUUGGACUCUUUACUGGGAAAGAUAAGUAAACCAUAUCACCUAGAGGAAGGAGAAGUCGUAACAAGGUUUCCGUAGGUGAACCUGCRGAAGGAUCA